UGUCCUUGGAAGUAAUUGCGGUCUGC
Molecule: non-coding RNA, 26 nt
Filed under: Homo sapiens (human)
Lineage: Eukaryota; Metazoa; Chordata; Mammalia; Primates; Hominidae
Source: RNAcentral